This 145-nucleotide unclassified non-coding RNA is filed under the name soil metagenome. RNAcentral's name for it is "partial internal transcribed spacer 1". The record is from RNAcentral.
UAAUAAGUGUUUUAUGGCACUUUUUAAAUCCAUACCCACCUUGUGUGCAAUGUCAGUCGAUCUUCUUCAUGGAGAUCGACCAAACAUCAACCUUUAUCUUUUAACUCUUUGUCUUAAAAAUAUUAUGAAUAAACAAUUCAAAAUA